UCCUGGUUUUCUUUUAAUUUCACGAAAGGCUUUUUGGCUUUGUUCUGCAGUCAGUCCAAAGCGCACUUUCACUCUCUCUUUAAAUGUGAGGGAAUCAGAGGUUUCAUCCUCUCUGAGAUCUGAGUAUAUUUCACUCAAAAUUCCACAUAUCUGUGGGCGUAAGUGCAGCAUCCAGUUUUCCUCAUGAAUGUUUAAGUCUGCCAGUCCGCUCAAAACUAAAUAGGAUCUGUGUGGGUUUUAACUUCAUAUCCCACCUCUGCCCUCAAUUAAUAUGCGAAGACGCAAGGGCUCUUUUCCCCCCGGCAGCCUUGGGCCCGUUCUCUCUCUUAAAUAUAGUGCACCCACCUCACAGAACACAAUUUCCACAAAUGCCCUCCAACUACCUCAGAUUAUCUUGUGGGGGACUUGCGUGAGGUAAAACUUACUAAUUGGGAGUCUCAGGCAGGAUUUCUUCAAAUAAAGAUUAACGAUUUUAUUUAACAAGGAAGUUUAUGACACGAGUGGAUAAAACAUAGGAUAUUUCAGUUUACAAUGUUAUUUCCCUUCAAGGUUUUCUCAGUUGUUUCACACGUAAUACUUUGGUUCUUAACAAGGUGGCACUUUCUGCCAGUUACACACCCCUUGGACAACCCUACUCCCAAGGUACUCCAAGCCAAAGACCCAAGGGAUCUCUGGUUUGGGAGUCUUCUCUUUCUAGAAGGAUCUCUCCCCUCCUGACUGGGAUGAGAGCUCAGCAGCCGGUCUCUUUCCAGCUCCUCCUUCUCCUGGCUCAGCCUCCCAGUUCAUUCCUGGCCUGAUUUACUCUCCCAGGACACCACACACUGUCCUUCCCACUAAGCUCAGAGACUCCUUUCUCUAGCUGGUGAUCUUUUCCUCAGAGUGGAUGUUUCCACCCAGAACCAGCUCCUCUCACUCCCCAUCUUCCCCACCUCCCUCCAAAGCUCCUAGCCAUGGGGUCAAAUGGGCCCAGGUCUCCCCACUCCAGGGCUCUUAGUCCGUCCGCUAAACCACAGUUAGGGCGGGUGUAGGAUAUUCUCCUAGGUGCCCAAACCUGCCACUUCUCCAUGUUCUUUUCUGAUAGAUCAAGACGCACGGCAAGGACAUUGUCCGGGUGCUGCCCUGAGCUUAUUGCAGCCUGAUGCCAACAAACAGACGUGCGUGUCCUGUUUGUUGGCAAGUAAAGCAACACCCCUCCCUGGUUGGGAUGGAGGGUCUCGCCUCUGGAAUGGUGGAAAUGACCAUCCAGCCAUGUGGUUGGUCAGGGGCCCAGGCCUCUCCUGAAUCGUCUUCUGAGGGUCUCAGGAUGGGUGAUGAAUUUCAGGGAAUUGGAUUGGCAGGCAGUGCCCCUCUGCAUUUGUCCCUGCCCUGCCCCUCAGUGCAAUGAGUUCUGGGCAGCCUGCAGAAUUCUCCAGUUCUAGGAUUCCACGACACCCCAGAUCACUCUCUGUAUCUGGGAAGGGACUGCAGCAGAGCUGUGAAGUCACUGAGGGGGGAAGAGGAGACAAGAAGAGCAAGCUUUCUCUUGGCUAAAAACCAAACACCCCAGAAGGAGCAGGAAAGGCCCAGAGGGGGAGAGGCUCUGCAAGGACAUCUCCCUGGCGGGCCUUUUCCUCGCCAGGCUCUCCGGGCACCAGAUAGGCUUUCAUUUUAAUGCCAAGGACGCCCUGAAAGGACUUAGACCAGUCAUGACGUGAAGGAGGCAUUGAAGGAAUAAAUCAUAAUUUGGGUCAGCCACCGGCCAUAGCAAUAAAAAAAACAAACGAUAUAACAAAGAAAAAAUCAAAAUCAAAAGUCAGUUAUAUAAAAUACUUUUAAGGGUUCUGAGUCAAGAGUCAAAUGGUGGAUCUUAUUCUAAUUGCCCCAGCUAAAAACCUGUGAAGAAGGUAUUAAACACCUUGGCCAAGAACUUGCAAGUCGUAGCUCUGGGUACGUAGUAGGAAUUCCUAUUGGGCACAAGAUGUGGCAAAGAACCCGGCUGCAAACCUCACCCUCAUAUUAUUUAAAGUCUCCUAAAAUUAAAUCUGUAUACAGCCACUACUACAGUUUGCCUCCAAUGUGAAUUCUUGAUGGGAAGCAUAUAUAGAGCUCACAAUAAAUAUACUGCACUGAAGAACCUGGAACUCUAAGCAUUUCUGCUAAAGCGCCGCAAAGAUUUUGCGACAGGGAGGACUCUCCUGAAGCCCUAUAGACAUCUCCAAGGUGCGCAGGGGAAUGAGAGGGGGAAAGCCCCAUUGUGGGACUGAUGGGGUGAAUCCUGGCCACUCUUUGGUAUGGGGUGUGAACUGCUUAGAAGCCUAUUUGAGCCUUCAACCCUCCUUCCUUGGCGGUUCCUCCCACCAUUCCUCUGUGUCCACCAGUCCAUGACAUCCUCUCUCCCCACAUGGCCCCUUCCUCCUACCUGCUCUGGGUCCACAGGGGCAGCUUCCCCUCCGCCACCAAGAAAAGAUGGACAAGCAGGUCUUGCUGGCAUCGUUCCGUCUCCUGCGAGAGAAGAAGGUAAGUGGGAAGCCAAGAGCGCAUGCUUCACUCCGAAGGAAAACUACAGGUGCGCCUUCAAACAAGUAGGAGUUGCCACCUAAAUGUGGACAUUUGCACCCAUUUGACAUACUAGUUGUGCAAAAAUACAUCUCCCUUUCUCUGGACUCUUGGUCCCCUGUGACUUCUCCAAUAAGAUGAAAAGAAUUCACAGAUUAGUUUCAAAAUCCACAGCUUGCGAGCAGACGGAGAAAGGACUCCUUCCUCCUUACCCAGAGGCCUCUCUCUGGAGUCCAAGGGAGUCUUCUCUGCCUCAGAGGAAUCCGGACCCAUUUCUGCUAACAGAUCCUGCCCCUGAGAGAGCAACAAGGAUUCAAGAGAGAGAGUGGGGAGAAGGAUUAGAAAAGGAGCAGCAGACGCAAACACUUUAGGGCUGUCCAAUAUCAUUCCUCGGAUGCUCUCCAAAAAAGGAUGGACCAUUAGUAAAUGAUUUGGGAAUACUCUCCCUCCUCUUAGGAGCCCCUUGGGAGUCUCUCUCACCUGCUGCUCUGCCUGACUCAGAAGGAAACCUUCAACCAGGGCCACUGCCUGGGAACUGGUCUCCGCUCCGCAUUUCCUCACCCAGUUCUACAUCUCUGGAGGAAGGACAGCCAGGAACUGCUCCAAGAUCACCAGGUCCAGCAUCUCAGCUUUCGUGUGUCUUUCUGGCUUCAGCCAUUGACAGCAAAGGUGGUAGAGUUGGCUGCAAACCUCUCGGGGUCCUUUGGCCUCCUGGUAUCAGAACUGAGCUGCUGGCUCUGCACCUCUGAGCAAGGGGUGUCCUCCUCACCCAGGAUCUUCUGCACGGAGUUUUCCCAGAAUCCUCCACUGCUCCCAUGGUGGGUUGCAAGGACUCUUCCUGCUUCAGGGCCAGCUGAGUCUUGCUCAUCCAUCUCUGUUCCCAGGAGAUCGGAAGGAGUCCCUAGGUCUUCUGCCAAGUUCUGCCUGUCCUACUGAGAGGUGCCAGAGAAUCCUGUAAAGCAAAUGCAUUCUUCUACUACCAGAUUGAUACACAGUCAGGAGAAGAGAAAUGUUCCCUGGGCAAGCAUGGAUGAGUCUGAAUCACAGCCCAGACUCGGAGUUCAAGCACCAUAUUCCCAUAUUCUGAAGACAGACUUCUGUCUUUGUUCUGAGGGCAACUCUCCCCCCCUCAGAAGCAUGGCUGCCUCCCACUGGGGGGCCUGGAGCCAUCGCUAGCCCUCUGCUCCUCCCUGAAUGGGCCUCAUCCUCUUCUCAAGCCAUCUCUUCCUCCUGUGGGAGGGAGUUCCAUGGGUCUAACUGCGCACUGGGAGAUGGAAGGACUUUGUUUAGCACAGAGGCCAAGUUUUUAUUUCUGCCUCCAAAUGUUUCCAUCUGGCUGCCACCUGGGCUAAGGAACGUGGCCGAUUCCUCAAUCCCAUCAGGGUUCCUUUGCAGGCCCUUUUCUUCCUGACUCAGUGACCCCUCCCCAAAGGAGCAAGACAAGAGUUGCAGACCUCCUGUUACUUGCAGCCUCCCUGGCUUUGCAGAGAGAAGGGGGGCAGAACCUCUUAGCCCUGGCUUGGGGAUCUCCUUGCAGGAGCUGAGCAGAAUCCCCACGGAUCUCCAUCAUGACUCCCUGGCCCUCAUGGCUGUUCUUCUGAACCCUUGCAAAGCGGAGCUCUCCCUGCUCCCUUCUCUCUCUCUCUCUCUCUCUCUCUCAGGAGCCAGGGCCCCAGAGGGGUCUUCUUUGGGGGACCCUCCCCUGCAGCCCUGGGACCCCCCAUCUCCCCAAGGCAACUCACCGGAUCCCAGAAGGCGCCCCCAGGCAGCACUUGUGGAGCAGAGAGACAAAAGCCCGGAUGGGGGCGGAGCUUGUACUCUGGGGAGCCUCCUCCCUUUAUUCCUCUCUAGGAAGCCAGCUUGGUGCCCCUUGACCCUUUUGCUGGUCCCUCCCUUUCUGCGGAGGAGCCCCGGGCGUGGCGCAGGUGCAGAGCUGCUCCAUCGGGGGACUUUGGGGGCCUGGCGAGCUUCUCCCUCCGCGGGGAACAGAUUUCUGUACAUCUCAAGAGUAGUAAGAAUGUAUUCCUUCCCACCCUUUGCUUGAGAAGUAAAACUCUGCAAGUGUUUGGCUCCAGGGUCCCUUGAGAGAGAAUUGGUUCCGACUCUCUGAGCAAAGAGGAAGGAAAAGGGGGUCCUGCAAGGAGAGGAUGAGGGGAAGACCCCCUUUUCUAGGGGUGGGGGAGAGGGAUUGGGCUCCCAGGUCAAGAGAGCACCUUGUAUCCUGGCACUGAAAAGACACCCUCCCGACACACACUUUGUGGCAUCUCCUUUUGGCAAAGGGUCAAAACUGUUGGUUUGCAAUCCCCCUCCACAGAGGCUGGCCCCUCUCACUGUCCUCGGAGCUUGCAUACCGGUAACCUCCUCUGGCUGACAUCCAGACAGACCAGGGAGAUUUUGAUAGGCGACAUUUUCCCAAGCGUGGGUAAAAUGCACAACCCCUCCCUCCUGCUUCCGCAGGGGGAAAAAAAUAAGUCAGAAAUCUAUUUACAUGAUGUUUAUUUCUGACAUUACAGCACUAGAAAAAACACGUCCUUUCAGUUCAGUUCUUCUAGCAAGUCUGACAAACUUCCUGAACAUGCAAAGUCGGAAGGUUUCAAAUUACACUCUUCACAAAGACUUAUCCAGCCUGUGAACGUCCUGGGAAACUCUUCUUUCCCACAGAUAGGCGCAUCAUGUGAUGUCAACAAUCUGGCUGUCUGCAGCAGUGAUGUUUCCAUAUACUGACAAAAACAUAGUUCCAACUUGAAAACCACCUCCAGGACCAGCUCCCCUCAAUAAGCUUUGGACUACAACUCCCAACCGGGCCUGCCAGCAGAAGGCAGGGUGGAUGGAAACAGCCGUCCAAAAGGUCCAGCCAGCCCCAGAGGCGACCCAAGGCUGCUCUCCAACGGGGCGCUGCUCCAGGCAUCUGAGUUGCCCAGCUCAAGGGAGCUGGUGGGACUAAAAACUGGGGUUCCUGAAUUGAGGGGUUGGACUAGAUGAGCCUGGAGUGUCCUCUUCCAGGAUUCCUCUUCUGGCUGCCAAUGCCACGGCUGGAAUGUUUCCCAAAACUGCCCCCCCCUUUCACAAGGAGCUCUCCCCCCCCCCCGUGUCUUAAACUACCCUUUGACUGGCAACCAUCUCCAAUCUCCUUGGUGGACAAUCCCAACCAAAGAUGCAUUAGAUUCUCUGAAAUCUACUCAGGAGUCCUGUAGUGAUUUCAUGCUCUUUAUUGCAGCUUGCAAAAGAGUGAUUUAAUUGCUCCCCAAACCUCAGGCUGUUCCCGUUGCGUCCAGAAGGUUAGCAUUCGUAGUCGUUGAGGUAUGCCGGUCACCUAUUUAGGCCUUGUGGUCUUGGGUGUCUCUCAGUAGGGGUUCCUGGUUCUGGCUCUUGUUCCAGGGCUGCCGGCUGUGACAGGGCCGUUGGGUUGGAUGCUGCUGGUCCACUCGGUUGUGGUUUUGGUUCCUGUGGCUGCUCGGCCUCGGUCACUUCUGGACUUCCUAGUUCUGCCUCCCUUACCCGCUCCUCCUGCUCUAUGGGCCUCACCCUUCUGCUAUCCCCUUGGGAUUCCUCUGCCCAGCCCUCCUUGCAGUUCCCCCCCAGGAAUCAUCCGGAAGUUCAAUAGUCCCAAGAAGGCUUGGAGUUCCGUCUUACCCUUAGGUGCAGGGGCGUCGCAAAUAGUCCUCACCUUGUCCCCGAUUAGGUGGACUCUUAAAACCCACCAGGGUGGCAAGGACAUGGCUGACCAUUGGCACCGGGUAUGCAUGAGCCAUAAGGGCCUUGUUUAUGGUACAUUUGUAGUCUACGCAGAUGUGGACUGAGCCAUUGGGCUUGACGGGUGUGAUGAUUGGGGUUUCCCAGGGGGCAUUAGGCACAAGCUAGAGCACUCCUUGCUCCAUGAGCUGGUCUAAUUCCUCGCCAAUGUGGGGUUUUGAGGGCAAACAGGACCUGGUGGGCCUUGAACCCGAUGGGUCGUAUGGCGGGGUCUAGUAGGCCUACGGGGGGGCAGUAUAUCAUCCCAAUGCCCCAUUGAAAACCUCUUGAAACUCUUUGCACAUGGCGUCCACGUCCACGUGGGAGCUGGUGCGGUUAACCCCGCUGAUGGCUAGCCCCAGUGGCCCAAACCACGCCAACCCCAGUAAGCUAACGUAGCGCCCCUUGACCACGAUCAAGUCCAACUGCCACUUCUGCCCUCAAUAUUGUACAUUGAAGGUUCCCACCCCCAUUGUGUUUGUGGAAGUCUCCUAGAGGGUGAAUGGGGCUGGCCAAACUUGGAGCCGCCACUGGGACACAAUUUCCUUAAUGUCCAUGCCAAGAUUAUGGACAGGAGUGAGCCUGUAUCAAGCUCCAGGCGGAAUGGGGCUGCCCCUAUCUGUGCCUCAAUGUAAAUUGUUUCCGCAUUAGAAUGAGGCAGCUGAUAUACCUGACAGUCUGUGAUCUCCGUUGAGUUGCCUUGGUGUGUAAGACCACAGGGCCUGGGACUCUUGGGUGGGCCAUCUGGUUCGAGGCGUCGGGCAGGGCAGGCACGGCACACCCGGGCGAUGUGUCCCACUUUUCUGCAUUGUCGGCAUUCCGCGUUGGGAAAUGGCAAGUCCUCUGCUCGUGGCUCUCCCCGCAACUUGCACAGUUCCCGUCUUCCGGACGAGGCUGUCGUGGUGGGUGUGCAGCUUAUGUUUGCUGCUGCACUCAGUGCACGUCCUCCCAGUCGAAUUCUGAGUCGUCGGUGAGGUCCUCAUGGUGGAUCCUCGUCUGGGAUAAAAUGUUUGAUUGGAAUCCUUGCGCUGACCUCUCUGCAGCUUCAGUUGCUAAAGCCUCCUCUAGGGCAGCCUGGAGCAUCAGGUCCUUCUUGGCGUAGAGGCGCCACUGCAGCUUCUCGUCCCUCAGGCUGCCCACGAAGCAGUCGCCAAGCAUGUUCUCCAGCUCUGUGACGUUGCAGAGCCUGGCAGCCUGGCAGAGGGAGGUCACAUACCCGGCUAUGGUUUCUCCGGAGACCUGCCGCUUUGCCUAGAAGGCAUUUCGACACGCUACCCCUGAGGGUUGUUGCGAGAAGUGCCCCUUCAGCCGUUCUAUUAUCGUGUCGCAAUAUUUGUGGGAGCGAGAAGGGCUCAGGCGAUCUUGAACGUUUCUUCUCCACAGAUGCUGAAGAAGGUUGCCCUCUACUUGGCUGUGUCUCAUGACGUCCUUUGCCUCCAGGAGGAACUGGAAGCGGGUGGCGUAUCCUUCCCAGUCUCCUGAGGCUGGGCUGAAUGGCAUGAAGCGGUUGUCUGUCACCAUUCUGGGUCCUUGGGUCCUGGAGCUGUAGCCUGGAUGCGCAGUGCGAUGCUGUGUUGCCUGUGGCAGCUGUGUGCGUUGCACGGCAGACAGCUCAGCAGGAUCCCACCUUCAUCGCCAGUGAAAUAUAUUCGGAGUCCUGUAGUGAUUUCAUGCUCUUUAUUGCAGUUUGUAAAACAGUGAUUUAAUUGCCCCCCAAACCUCAGGCUUUUAUAUACAUUAUUUACACAAUGAGUCCCGUCUGAUUGGCUGCUUCUGUUGGGAUCCUGCCAGGGAGACAGAGGCAUCAGGCCUCCAUGUCGUCUCCAGACGAUCUCUGGUCUCCCGUUGGAACAGCAUCAGUCAAUUAGCGACACGACCCUCAGACGCAUUCCAAGACUCAUGCACGCCCUUCUCGCAGAGUUUCCACAACGGAAGAUUCACCCAGGAGAGCAUAUUUACAGCUUUAUUCAACGUUGGUCAGAACAAAGAAAAAACAUGACUGCUUGCAUUCAUGUCAAGGAAAGCAGCCAGAACAAAAGCUAUAUACAAAACGGAAACUCCCAGUGAGCAGGAAGUAAACAGGCAUGUGACACACAACAGCCUGUUCCCUUUUUUAAGGAGGAACGGAAAUAUCCUAACAGAUUCUGCUUCCCUCCUGGAGCCUGAUUGGUCUUUUCCUGCAAGCCAAUCAGUUGUUGCAUUCUAGGAUCCUACUUGCCUAUUGUUCUGGGAUCCAAGCUUAGUACAUAACAAUCUCCUUCCUCCGUGUCCCCAGUUCUUAAAUAGGCUUUAUUUCAAAACAGGGUGGGGGGUAGAGAUGGCUUAGUCUUCCAAACAACCCUUUAUCCAUUAGUUAGUAGACAAGCUUCGCAGUGUAAGGAGAGGAAAGCAGACCUUUGAGCCCAGCCUGCCCCCCCCAAAUUCUACCCGCAUGCCUUGAGGCCCCAAGUUGAACGGAGGAAGGCCUGGGGGGCAGCUGCUGGCUGGGACUUUGAUUGGGGCAGAGUGGGGGCACAAGGAGAGGGAGACAGGAAGACCGGCCAGGGGGUGGCACUGGGGAGAUUUAUUCACAUUGGUUUUCUACCCAAAAACCACUACCCCUGGCUGUGAGGAGGGUGGCGCCUCCUCCAUGAAUUCCUCUUCCACUCCCAGCCACUCUGCUCAACCCUUUGCUAAAAUCCUGCUCUCCCUCCUCUCCGUCUCAGAGGCUGGGCUUUCUGUCUCAUCUCAAGAACCGCCAAAGCGCCCGCAAUUGCCUCUUAUCUUCCAGCCAAACCAUCCACAUCAAUCCUAAGCAUCUCCUGUUCUGAUUUCCAUUUUUUGUCUUCUUUUCCAGCUUUUCAGACUUCUCCCUUCCUUCCUUUCAUGGAGAUAUCUAGUGCUUGUUUUCUUUGUCAGUGUCUCUGGUUUAGUGGUCAAAUUUGUCUCCAUUUCAUUAUUUUUAUCAAUUCGGGCUAAUAGCUUCUCCAAAUUUAACACAGGCCUGGUGUUAACUGUUUUUGAACGGCCAUAUUCCAAAUCUCCCUCUCCAUUGUUCUCAAAGCAGCCUAUUUUCCAGCAGCACCUUAUCAGUUUGUCAAGGUCACAGAAUAACUCUUUCCUAAGAGAUCCUGUUUCCUGCAUUUUUCCAGCCCUUCUUCUUCCAUCCAGC
This 9418-nucleotide long non-coding RNA is filed under the name Podarcis lilfordi (Lilford's wall lizard). Lineage: Eukaryota; Metazoa; Chordata; Lepidosauria; Squamata; Lacertidae. The record is from RNAcentral.